GUGUACAAGGCCCGGGAACGUAUUCACCGCGGCAUGCUGAUCCGCGAUUACUAGCAAUUCCGGCUUCACGCAGGCGGGUUGCAGCCUGCGAUCCGAACUGAGACAAUUUUUAUGAGGUUCGCUCCACCUCGCGGUUUCGCUUCUCUUUGUUAAUUGCCAUUGUAGUACGUGUGUGGCCCAGGUCAUAAAGGGCAUGAUGAUUUGACGUCAUCCCCACCUUCCUCCGUUUUGUCAACGGCAGUCUCUCUAGAGUCCUCUUGCGUAGUAACUAAAGAUAAGGGUUGCGCUCGUUGCGGGACUUAACCCAACAUCUCACGACACGAGCUGACGACAACCAUGCACCACCUGUCUCCGUGUCCCGAAGGACUUCACCUAUCUCUAGGCUAUGCACGGGAUGUCAAAACCUGGUAAGGUUUUUCGCGUUGCUUCGAAUUAAACCACAUACUCCACUGCUUGUGCGGGCCCCCGUCAAUUCCUUUGAGUUUCAACCUUGCGGUCGUACUCCCCAGGUGGAUUACUUAUUGUGUUAACUGCGGCACGGAAGGGGUCAAUCCUCCCACACCUAGUAAUCAUCGUUUACGGCAUGGACUAC
This 592-nucleotide ribosomal RNA is filed under the name uncultured bacterium. RNAcentral describes it as "partial 16S ribosomal RNA". The record is from RNAcentral.